GAUGAACGCUGGCGGCGUGCCUAAUACAUGCAAGUCGAGCGAACAGAUAAGGAGCUUGCUCCUUUGACGUUAGCGGCGGACGGGUGAGUAACACGUGGGUAACCUACCUAUAAGACUGGAAUAACUCCGGGAAACCGGGGCUAAUGCCGGAUAACAUUUAGAACCGCAUGGUUCUAAAGUGAAAGAUGGUUUUGCUAUCACUUAUAGAUGGACCCGCGCCGUAUUAGCUAGUUGGUAAGGUAACGGCUUACCAAGGCAGCGAUACGUAGCCGACCUGAGAGGGUGAUCGGCCACACUGGAACUGAGACACGGUCCAGACUCCUACGGGAGGCAGCAGUAGGGAAUCUUCCGCAAUGGGCGAAAGCCUGACGGAGCAACGCCGCGUGAGUGAUGAAGGUCUUCGGAUCGUAAAACUCUGUUAUUAGGGAAGAACAAAUGUGUAAGUAACUGUGCACGUCUUGACGGUACCUAAUCAGAAAGCCACGGCUAACUACGUG
RNAcentral lists this ribosomal RNA (497 nucleotides) under uncultured bacterium. RNAcentral describes it as "partial 16S ribosomal RNA". It matches the Rfam family "Bacterial small subunit ribosomal RNA", at positions 28 to 507 of the family's 1533-position model. The record is from RNAcentral.